GGCGUCAUAGCCAAGUGGUAAGGCGUGGGUCUGCAACACCCUGAUCCCCGGUUCAAAUCCGGGUGACGCCUCCA
Molecule: transfer RNA, 74 nt
Filed under: Oscillospiraceae bacterium
Lineage: Bacteria; Bacillati; Bacillota; Clostridia; Eubacteriales; Oscillospiraceae
Description: tRNA-Cys
Rfam family: tRNA
About the family: Transfer RNA (tRNA) molecules are approximately 80 nucleotides in length. Their secondary structure includes four short double-helical elements and three loops (D, anti-codon, and T loops).
Source: RNAcentral